AGUUCGGAUCGGAGUCUGCAACCCGACUCCGUGAAGCUGGAUUCGCUAGUAAUCGCGCAUCAGCCAUGGCGCGGUGAAUACGUUCCCGGGCCUUGUACACACCGCCCGUCAAGCCAUGGGAGCCGGGGGGUGCUUGAAGUGCGUCGCCGCAAGGCGCGCCCUAGAGCAAAACCGGUGACUGGGGCUAAGUCGUAACAAGGUAAC
RNAcentral lists this ribosomal RNA (204 nucleotides) under uncultured bacterium. Its description in RNAcentral is "partial 16S ribosomal RNA". It matches the Rfam family "Bacterial small subunit ribosomal RNA", at positions 1290 to 1500 of the family's 1533-position model. The record is from RNAcentral.